UACAGAGGUCUCAAGCGUUGUUCGGAUUCAUUGGGCGUAAAGGGUGCGUAGGCGGCGCGGUAAGUCGGGUGUGAAAUCUCGGAGCUUAACUCCGAAACUGCAUUCGAUACUGCCGUGCUUGAGGACUGGAGAGGAGACUGGAAUUUACGGUGUAGCGGUGAAAUGCGUAGAGAUCCGGCAGAAGACCGGUGGCGAAGGCGGCCCCCUGGGCAGUAACUGACACUGAGGCGCGACAGCGUGGGGAGCAAACAGG
RNAcentral lists this ribosomal RNA (253 nucleotides) under uncultured bacterium. Its description in RNAcentral is "partial 16S ribosomal RNA". It matches the Rfam family "Bacterial small subunit ribosomal RNA", at positions 524 to 776 of the family's 1533-position model. The record is from RNAcentral.